AGAGGUAAGUCGUAACAUGGUAAGCAUACCGGAAGGUGUGCUUGGAACAAAGUAUAGUUUAUAUAAAACCCCUUGCUUACACCAAGAAGUCACCUGUGCAACCCUGGUUACUUUGAGC
Molecule: transfer RNA, 118 nt
Filed under: Crinia parinsignifera
Lineage: Eukaryota; Metazoa; Chordata; Amphibia; Anura; Myobatrachidae
Description: tRNA-Val
Source: RNAcentral